GCAACUCGACUCCAUGAAGCUGGAUUCGCUAGUAAUCGCGCAUCAGCCAUGGCGCGGUGAAUACGUUCCCGGGCCUUGUACACACCGCCCGUCAAGCCAUGGAAGCCGGGGGGUGCCUGAAGUGCGUGACCGCAAGGAGCGCCCUAAGGUAAAACCGGUGACUGGGGCUAAGUCGUAACAAGGUACC
RNAcentral lists this ribosomal RNA (187 nucleotides) under uncultured bacterium. RNAcentral's name for it is "partial 16S ribosomal RNA". It matches the Rfam family "Bacterial small subunit ribosomal RNA", at positions 1307 to 1500 of the family's 1533-position model. The record is from RNAcentral.